This 73-nucleotide transfer RNA is filed under the name Candidatus Bipolaricaulota bacterium. RNAcentral's name for it is "tRNA-Trp". It matches the Rfam family "tRNA". From Rfam's summary of the family: Transfer RNA (tRNA) molecules are approximately 80 nucleotides in length. Their secondary structure includes four short double-helical elements and three loops (D, anti-codon, and T loops). Further hydrogen bonds mediate the characteristic L-shaped molecular structure. tRNAs have two regions of fundamental functional importance: the anti-codon, which is responsible for specific mRNA codon recognition, and the 3' end, to which the tRNAs corresponding amino acid is attached (by aminoacyl-tRNA synthetases). tRNAs cope with the degeneracy of the genetic code in two manners: having more than one tRNA (with a specific anti-codon) for a particular amino acid; and 'wobble' base-pairing, i.e. permitting non-standard base-pairing at the 3rd anti-codon position. The record is from RNAcentral. Lineage: Bacteria; Candidatus Bipolaricaulota.
AGGCCCUUAGCUCAACUGGCAGAGCGUCCGGCUCCAAACCGGAAGGCUGGGGGUUCGAGUCCUCUAGGGCCUG